CAAGUCGAACGGUAACAGGAAGCAGCUUGCUGCUUCGCUGACGAGUGGCGGACGGGUGAGUAAUGUCUGGGAAACUGCCUGAUGGAGGGGGAUAACUACUGGAAACGGUAGCUAAUACCGCAUAACGUCGCAAGACCAAAGAGGGGGACCUUCGGGCCUCUUGCCAUCGGAUGUGCCCAGAUGGGAUUAGCUAGUAAGUGGGGUAACGGCUCACCUAGGCGACGAUCCCUAGCUGGUCUGAGAGGAUGACCAGCCACACUGGAACUGAGACACGGUCCAGACUCCUACGGGAGGCAGCAGUGGGGAAUAUUGCACAAUGGGCGCAAGCCUGAUGCAGCCAUGCCGCGUGUAUGAAGAAGGCCUUCGGGUUGUAAAGUACUUUCAGCGGGGAGGAAGGCGACAGGGUUAAUAACCCUGUCGAUUGACGUUACCCGCAGAAGAAGCACCGGCUAACUCCGUGCCAGCAGCCGCGGUAAUACGGAGGGUGCAAGCGUUAAUCGGAAUUACUGGGCGUAAAGCGCACGCAGGCGGUCUGUCAAGUCGGAUGUGAAAUCCCCGGGCUCAACCUGGGAACUGCAUUCGAAACUGGCAGGCUAGAGUCUUGUAGAGGGGGGUAGAAUUCCAGGUGUAGCGGUGAAAUGCGUAGAGAUCUGGAGGAAUACCGGUGGCGAAGGCGGCCCCCUGGACAAAGACUGACGCUCAGGUGCGAAA
Molecule: ribosomal RNA, 711 nt
Filed under: uncultured Enterobacterales bacterium
Lineage: Bacteria; Pseudomonadati; Pseudomonadota; Gammaproteobacteria; Enterobacterales
Description: bacterial SSU rRNA
Rfam family: Bacterial small subunit ribosomal RNA
Source: RNAcentral